AGAGAGUAUAAUUAGUCUCUCA
Molecule: non-coding RNA, 22 nt
Filed under: Arabidopsis thaliana (thale cress)
Lineage: Eukaryota; Viridiplantae; Streptophyta; Magnoliopsida; Brassicales; Brassicaceae
Source: RNAcentral